Molecule: ribosomal RNA, 69 nt
Filed under: Solidago missouriensis
Lineage: Eukaryota; Viridiplantae; Streptophyta; Magnoliopsida; Asterales; Asteraceae
Description: partial 26S large subunit ribosomal RNA
Rfam family: Eukaryotic large subunit ribosomal RNA
Source: RNAcentral
CCGCGACCCCAGGUCAGGCGGGACUACCCGCUGAGUUUAAGCAUAUCUAUAAGCGGAGGAAAAGAAACU